RNAcentral lists this transfer RNA (68 nucleotides) under Ramulus hainanensis. RNAcentral's name for it is "Ramulus hainanense tRNA-Asn". The record is from RNAcentral. Lineage: Eukaryota; Metazoa; Arthropoda; Insecta; Phasmatodea; Phasmatidae.
UUAGCUAAAACCAAAUAGAGGUAUAUCACUGUUAAUGAUAUCAUUGAAGUUCAAUAAUUCUGGCUAAA